CCUACGGGGGGCAGCAGUGAGGAAUAUUGGUCAAUGGACGAGAGUCUGAACCAGCCAAGUAGCGUGAAGGAUGACUGCCCUAUGGGUUGUAAACUUCUUUUAUAUGGGAAUCAAAUGUUCCACGUGUGGGAUUUUGUAUGUACCAUAUGAAUAAGGAUCGGCUAACUCCGUGCCAGCAGCCGCGGUAAUACGGAGGAUCCGAGCGUUAUCCGGAUUUAUUGGGUUUAAAGGGAGCGUAGGUGGGUUGUUAUGUCAGUUGUGAAAGUUUGCGGCUCAACCGUAAAAUUGCAGUUGAAACUGGCAGUCUUGAGUACAGUAGAGGUGGGCUGAAUCCGUAGUGUAUCGGUGAAAUGCGUAGAUAUCACGAAGAACUCCGAUUGCGAAGGCAGUUCACUGGACUGCAACUGACACUGAGGCUCGAAAGUGUGGGUAUCAAACAGGAGUAGAUACCACUGGUAGUC
This 461-nucleotide ribosomal RNA is filed under the name uncultured bacterium. RNAcentral describes it as "partial 16S ribosomal RNA". It matches the Rfam family "Bacterial small subunit ribosomal RNA", at positions 338 to 795 of the family's 1533-position model. The record is from RNAcentral.